RNAcentral lists this ribosomal RNA (475 nucleotides) under uncultured bacterium. Its description in RNAcentral is "bacterial SSU rRNA". It matches the Rfam family "Bacterial small subunit ribosomal RNA", at positions 915 to 1391 of the family's 1533-position model. The record is from RNAcentral.
GGGGACCCGCAAGCGGUGGAUGAUGUGGAUUAAUUCGAUGCAACGCGAAAAACCUUACCUACCCUUGACAUGUACGGAAUCCCGCUGAGAGGUGGGAGUGCUCGAAAGAGAACCGUAACACAGGUGCUGCAUGGCUGUCGUCAGCUCGUGUCGUGAGAUGUUGGGUUAAGUCCCGCAACGAGCGCAACCCUUGUCCUUAGUUGCUACCCGCAAGGGAGCACUCUAGGGAGACUGCCGGUGACAAACCGGAGGAAGGUGGGGAUGACGUCAAGUCCUCAUGGCCCUUAUGGGUAGGGCUUCACACGUCAUACAAUGGUCGGUACAGAGGGUCGCCAACCCGCGAGGGGGAGCUAAUCUCAGAAAACCGAUCGUAGUCCGGAUUGUAGUCUGCAACUCGACUGCAUGGAGCUGGAAUCGCUAGUAAUCGCGGAUCAGCAUGUCGCGGUGAAUACGUUCCCGGGGUCUUGUACACACC